GGAUGUCUUGGGCUCGUGCAUCGAUGAAAGGACGCAGCGAAAUGCGAUACGCAUUGUGAAUUGCAGAUUUCAGUGAACCAUCAGAUUUCCGAACGCAUAUGGCGCUGUGGGGACUUCCCCGCAGCACGUCUGUUUCAGUGUCUUU
RNAcentral lists this ribosomal RNA (145 nucleotides) under Eimeria zuernii. RNAcentral describes it as "partial 5.8S rRNA". It matches the Rfam family "5.8S ribosomal RNA". From Rfam's summary of the family: 5.8S ribosomal RNA (5.8S rRNA) is a component of the large subunit of the eukaryotic ribosome. The record is from RNAcentral. Lineage: Eukaryota; Apicomplexa; Conoidasida; Eucoccidiorida; Eimeriidae.